Molecule: long non-coding RNA, 215 nt
Organism: Sinocyclocheilus rhinocerous
Lineage: Eukaryota; Metazoa; Chordata; Actinopteri; Cypriniformes; Cyprinidae
Exons: 5
Source: RefSeq, a predicted model, not a curated record
CUUAAACUGAUUCAAAAGAUUCGAGUCGCUUUUGAUGAAUCAAAAGACAUACAUACAGCUCCAUGAUGCUUUUACCAAGGCUGCUCAUCUUUACAGUGCUGGCUGCUGUACUUCAUGCAAUUCCAGUUUCAACUCAUAUUCAUGAGGUUGAAGAUGAACCCAAUUUUAACCCUUUCAUCAAUCUUGGAGCAAAAACCCAGCUGAUUGAGGGAGAC